UCGAUUCCCCACCCCUCAUCUCCCUCCUGCACGCGAAGGGGCGCAGGGGAGCAUGGCGGACGGUCGGCUGCAAGAUUGAAGCGGCACUAGGCAAGCUCGAGGGACGGAGGCCGGAAGCCGUGGCUGUCUCCAUGAAGGCCGUCCUCGGAGCCUACCUCGGCGUGCACGUAUUGGCGGCGUUCCCCAUGACUUCACCCGUGUGGCUGGGCUCUUCUCAGGGUGGAAACACGCCUAGCCUUGCUGUAGAUCGAGGGAGGCCACGGCCAAGGGGACCUGCAUCGUGACGCAGGACAUGGACUCCAUGGCUGCUCCUACUGCCGAUUAAUUUCAUGACCCUGAAGUUCCUUUGGUCCUCACGAAGGAUCGAAUCAGGACUUUCACAUGUUCAGCUGCUGUGAUUCUGUCUUCUUUUGCUGAAACCAUGCUCACCACGCCUCUGCAAAAAAGAUUCAGGUGCUCUUAGUGCAACAAUAUAAUUGCUCUGCUUGGUAGUGCAUGCUGAAGCGAUGGCCUGCAUGGUUGGUGCAAUGUAAGCUCAAUACUUCUUCCUAUAGGUUUCCACAGGUUCUCUAUGAGUAUGCGUGGUGUUGCAGGCCAUCGGCGAGUCCGAUCUGUUUCUUCACCUCCUCCAGUUCCGCGCCAUUGUCAUGGGCUGGAUGCUGUUACUGAUGUGUCGCCGCCUCGCCGUGGCGGUUCUUCUGCUGAUACACAGAUCCAAGGCGGUGUAGGCAUCCUGUUCCUGAGCAAGGUCGUGGCCAAUCGGCUUCUUCUGAUACAUCUCAUGAAAUUUUACCUUGCAUGAUGGAUCUACAAGGGCUAUGGUCUUCACCAGAUAUAUAAGAGGUUUGUCUCGGAGUCGAUUAUCAAAGGGUGAAGUAAGAUACACGAGAUCUCAUAAUCAACAAAAAAUGCAGAACAUAUUCAAAUAUUUGUUACAACAUUGAUUUGCAUAAUUCCAGUGAAAUUAGUUACUGGACUACCAUGGUUGUGGCAGAGGAAUGCAGAGCAGGCUCAAGUGAUGGCCGGAAGAACAAAGUGUACCUGAUCAUUUAGAUGAAGCAUUGUAAAAAAGAAAAUUCAGUGUAUUUUUUCCUUGAAAAGUAUAUAUUACAAUGAGCACUUGAUUCAGUAAUAACCCCAAAGUGGCCUCACGGGUGCGGCGUGCAACAGAGAAGAUUGUUUAAGUA
This is a long non-coding RNA of Lolium rigidum, 1187 nucleotides long. RefSeq lists it as uncharacterized. Lineage: Eukaryota; Viridiplantae; Streptophyta; Magnoliopsida; Poales; Poaceae. The record is from RefSeq and is a predicted model, not a curated record. The transcript is spliced from 6 exons.